Molecule: ribosomal RNA, 632 nt
Filed under: Lunella sp. NE Australia
Lineage: Eukaryota; Metazoa; Mollusca; Gastropoda; Trochida; Turbinidae
Description: partial 12S ribosomal RNA
Source: RNAcentral
GACNAACCAGAUCAAAUUAAGAUAAACACAGUGAAAAAGGAGGUUAUAGGAGAACAAUUAAUUAAACUUAAUUUAUUUCUUAAAAGAUUACGAUUCUUAUAGAGGUGGAAUUUGUAGAAGAUGUAUAAUCUAUUGCUUUUUUUUUCCUUGAGGCCUCGAAACCUUGAUAGAAAACCGGGAUUAGAUACCCCGCUAUUCAAGGUAUAAAUAUUAAUUUAAAACGCUUUACUAGAGUAUUACGGGCCCUAAAUUUUAGUUUGUAACAUAAGCCUAAAACUCAAAAAACUUGGCGGUGCCUUAUAUCCUUUCAGGGGAACCUGUUCUAUAAUCGAUAGUCCACGAUUUACCUUUCCUUUAUUUGAUCUAAUUUCAGUCUGUAUACCGUCGUCGUCAGAUUACCUCUUAGAGUUAAAAAGUUAUCAAUCAGAGUAGUCUUGAAAAUAUUAUGACAUAGAUUUAAUAUUAUUAAUUUUCUCUAAACGUCAGAUCAAGGUGCAGCCAAUGUAAAGGAAGAAAUGGGUUACAAUAAAUACUUUUUAUACGAAUAUCUUUUUGAAAAUAUAAGUUUAAAGGAGGACUUGAAAGUAAUUAGGGAACUAGAGAGUCCCGGUGAAUGCGGCCCUAAGGCGUGC